GACGAACGCUGGCGGCGUGCUUAACACAUGCAAGUCGAACGGAAAGGCCCUGCUUUUGUGGGGUGCUCGAGUGGCGAACGGGUGAGUAACACGUGAGUAACCUGCCCUUGACUUUGGGAUAACUUCAGGAAACUGGGGCUAAUACCGGAUAGGAGCUCCUGCUGCAUGGUGGGGGUUGGAAAGUUUCGGCGGUUGGGGAUGGACUCGCGGCUUAUCAGCUUGUUGGUGGGGUAGUGGCUUACCAAGGCUUUGACGGGUAGCCGGCCUGAGAGGGUGGCCGGCCACAUUGGGACUGAGGUACGGCCCAGACUCCUACUGGAGGCAGCAGUGGGGAAUAUUGCCCAAUGGGCGGAAGCCUGAUGCAGCAACGCCGCGUGCGGGAUGACGGCCUUCGGGUUGUAAACCGCUUUCGCCUGUGACGAAGCGUGAGUGACGGUAAUGGGUAAAGAAGCACCGGCUAACUACGUG
Molecule: ribosomal RNA, 468 nt
Filed under: uncultured bacterium
Lineage: Bacteria
Description: partial 16S ribosomal RNA
Rfam family: Bacterial small subunit ribosomal RNA
Source: RNAcentral